CCUACGGGAGGCAGCAGUGAGGAAUAUUGGUCAAUGGACGAGAGUCUGAACCAGCCAAGUAGCGUGAAGGAUGACUGCCCUAUGGGUUGUAAACUUCUUUUAUAUGGGAAUAAAAUGUUCCACGUGUGGGAUUUUGUAUGUACCAUAUGAAUAAGGAUCGGCUAACUCCGUGCCAGCAGCCGCGGUAAUACGGAGGAUCCGAGCGUUAUCCGGAUUUAUUGGGUUUAAAGGGAGCGUAGGUGGAUUGUUAAGUGAGUUGUGAAAGUUUGCGGCUCAACCAUGAAAUUGCAGUUGAAACUGGCAGUCUUGAGUACAGUAGAGGUGGGCGGAAUUCGUGGUGUAGCGGUGAAAUGCUUAGAUAGCACGAAGAACUCCGAUUGCGAAGGCAGUUCACUGGACUGCAACUGACACUGAGGCUCGAAAGUGUGGGUAUCAAACAGGAUUAGAUACCCUUGUAGUC
RNAcentral lists this ribosomal RNA (460 nucleotides) under uncultured bacterium. RNAcentral describes it as "partial 16S ribosomal RNA". It matches the Rfam family "Bacterial small subunit ribosomal RNA", at positions 338 to 795 of the family's 1533-position model. The record is from RNAcentral.